GAUGAACGCUGGCGGCGUGCUUAACACAUGCAAGUCGAACGGAAAGGCCCAAGCUUGCUUGGGUACUCGAGUGGCGAACGGGUGAGUAACACGUGGGUGAUCUGCCCUGCACUUCGGGAUAAGCCUGGGAAACUGGGUCUAAUACCGGAUAGGACCACAUUUUGGAUGGUGUGGUGGAAAGUUUUUCGGUGUGGGAUGAGCUCGCGGCCUAUCAGCUUGUUGGUGGGGUAAUGGCCUACCAAGGCGUCGACGGGUAGCCGGCCUGAGAGGGGGUACGGCCACGUUGGGGAGGGGUAACGGCCCAAGCCCUUAGGGGGGGCGGACGGGGGGAGAAUGCACCAAGGGGCGAAGGCCGGUGGGGGCGGGGCCGGGGGGGGGUGUGCGGCCUUGGGGUUGUAAACUCCUUCCGGUAGGGAAGAAGGGUUUUUUGGAGGGAACUUGGAAAAAAAGCCCCGGCAAACUAGGG
RNAcentral lists this ribosomal RNA (466 nucleotides) under uncultured bacterium. Its description in RNAcentral is "partial 16S ribosomal RNA". It matches the Rfam family "Bacterial small subunit ribosomal RNA", at positions 28 to 506 of the family's 1533-position model. The record is from RNAcentral.